AACGUACGCUGGCGGCACGCCUAACACAUGCAAGUCGAACGAAGUAGCAAUACUUAGUGGCAGACGGGUGAGUAACAUGUGGGUAUCUGCCCUUUGGCCUGGAAUAACACGAGGAAACUUGUGCUAAUACCGGAUAAGUCUUUACGGAGAAAGCUUUUAUGCACCAUUGGAUGAGCCCGCACUUGAUUAGUUUGUUGGUGGGGUAAUGGCCUACCAAGACUAUGAUCAAUAGCUGAUUUGAGAGGAUGAUCAGCCACAUUGGGACUGAGACACGGCCCAAACUCCUACGGGAGGCAGCAGUGGGGAAUCUUGCACAAUGGAGGAAACUCUGAUGCAGCGAUGCCGCGUGAGUGAAGAAGGCCCUUGGGUUGUAAAGCUCUUUCGUCGGGGAAGAAAACGACUGUACCCGAAUAAGAAGGUCCGGCUAACUUCGUG
Molecule: ribosomal RNA, 435 nt
Filed under: uncultured bacterium
Lineage: Bacteria
Description: bacterial SSU rRNA
Rfam family: Bacterial small subunit ribosomal RNA
Source: RNAcentral